AAAACCUGACUCCAGAAGGCACCCUCAGGAUCUACAUUUGCUGCUUUUAUAUUUCAGAGGAAGCUACUGAUCGAAUGAAGGUAAGACAUGAUAAUCCUGUAGAUGCUAAGAAGUCAUCAAGAUUUGAAACAAGCUACUUUGGACAGAGAACGAAUUGUUUUGAUUCACGCAAUCUGAAAAUCAGAAACAAGAAGGUUCCUGAUUAAAGAUUAAA
Manis javanica (Malayan pangolin) is the source of this 214-nucleotide non-coding RNA. Lineage: Eukaryota; Metazoa; Chordata; Mammalia; Pholidota; Manidae. The record is from RefSeq and is a predicted model, not a curated record.